UUGGCUAUUAGGCAAUGUGGUGUUCAGGUCGUUCCGCAGAGGUUCUGCUCCACCCUAAGUCCAGCAAUGAGUACGGUAGUACGGACAUGGCCCACAGAGGGUGAAAGGCCCGUGGGGGUGGAGAUUCGGCAGGACAGAGCCUCUCUGGGUAGACCUUGGAGUCGGGUUGUUUGAGAAUGCAGCCCAAAGUGGGUGGUAAACUCCAUCCAAGGCUAAAUACUAGCACGAGUCCGAUAGCGAACAAGUACCGUGAGGGAAAGUUGAAAAGUACUUUGAAGAUAGAGUAAACAGUGCGUGAAACCGCUCAGAGGUAAACGGGUGGAGUUGAACUGCAAGCUCUGAGAAUUCAGCUGGUGAGUGUGGUUUGAGCUUGGUCAAAUUGGUGAAUUCCGAGGUCUGUGUAGUAGCAGGUCCUUCACCUUCGGGUGGGGAUGCGCGGUGCACUUGUCAAGUGUUGCGCGUCUCGGUUUUUCGGCCAGCUCGUCAGUGCACUUUCUCAGAGUAUUCACCACGACCGGCACCGCUGUCUGGCUGCUUUGGUUAAACCGGUCUUGCUUUGUCCUUGUGGCUUUGCUUGAUCGGGAUGGCAGGUAGCUCGUUGACUUGCUUGUGGCUUGCUGCAGGCGUUCGGUUUUCGAGUGUAAUCAGCUGACCUUAGUGGUUCUGUGCAGUGUGUCGGAGACGGCGGCUUGUAGUGUGUGCACGCGUCUCUGUCUGCUGACUUGUCCGGGUUUGGUUGUUAUGUAGCCUGGUAACCCAGGCCUGAUAAUGGCUCGGAUUCGUUCGGUGGGCAGUUGCGUGUGUGGCACUUUUGCAGGGCCAAUAGUCUGUGGUGUAGUGGUAGACUUUCCACCUGACCCGUCUUGAAACACGGACCAAGGAGAGUAACAUGUACGCGAGUCAUUGGGCGUGACGGAAACCCAAAGGCGCAGUGAAAGUAAAUGUCUGACUCGUUCAGACUGAGGUGAGAUCCUGUCGUUUCUCAUGCGCGGUACUUCCAAGCUCCGAGCGGCAGGCGCAUCACCGGCCCGUCCCAUGACAUUUGUUUUCGAGCUUUCCGGUCGGGGCGGAGCAUGAGCGUACAUGUUGAGACCCGAAAGAUGGUGAACUAUGCUUGCGCAGGUUGAAGCCAGAGGAAACUCUGGUGGAGGACCGCAGCGAUUCUGACGUGCAAA
This 1175-nucleotide ribosomal RNA is filed under the name Rauschiella tineri. RNAcentral describes it as "eukaryotic LSU rRNA". It matches the Rfam family "Eukaryotic large subunit ribosomal RNA", at positions 129 to 897 of the family's 3401-position model. Lineage: Eukaryota; Metazoa; Platyhelminthes; Trematoda; Plagiorchiida; Plagiorchiidae. The record is from RNAcentral.